Molecule: ribosomal RNA, 467 nt
Filed under: uncultured bacterium
Lineage: Bacteria
Description: partial 16S ribosomal RNA
Rfam family: Bacterial small subunit ribosomal RNA
Source: RNAcentral
GACGAACGCUGGCGGCGUGCUUAACACAUGCAAGUCGAACGGAAAGGCCCUGCUUUUGUGGGGUGCUCGAGUUGCGAACGGGUGAGUAACACGUGAGUAACCUGCCCUUGACUUUGGGAUAACUUCAGGAAACUGGGGCUAAUACCGGAUAGGAGCUCCUGCUGCAUGGUGGGGGUUGGAAAGUUUCGGCGGUUGGGGAUGGACUCGCGGCUUAUCAGCUUGUUGGUGGGGUAGUGGCUUACCAAGGCUUUGACGGGUAGCCGGCCUGAGAGGGUGACCGGCCACAUUGGGACUGAGAUACGGCCCAGACACCUACGGGCGGGAGCAGGGGGGAAUAUUGCACAAUGGGCGGAAGCCUGAUGCAGCAACGCCGCGUGCGGGAUGACGGCAUUCGGGUUGUAAACAGCUUUCGCCUGUGACGAAGCGUGAGUGACGGUAAUGGGGAAAGAAGCACCGGCUAACUACGU